Molecule: ribosomal RNA, 524 nt
Filed under: uncultured Pelagibacterales bacterium
Lineage: Bacteria; Pseudomonadati; Pseudomonadota; Alphaproteobacteria; Candidatus Pelagibacterales
Description: bacterial SSU rRNA
Rfam family: Bacterial small subunit ribosomal RNA
Source: RNAcentral
CGCCUGGGGAGUACGGCCGCAAGGUUAAAACUCAAAUGAAUUGACGGGGACCCGCACAAGUAGUGGAGCAUGUGGUUUAAUUCGAAGAUACGCGCAGAACCUUACCAACACUUGACAUGUUUGUGCGACUUAAGAGAUUAGGUCUUCGGUUCGCCGGACAAAACACAGGUGCUGCAUGGCUGUCGUCAGCUCGUGUCGUGAGAUGUUGGGUUAAGUCCCGCAACGAGCGCAACCCUCACUUUUAGUUACCAUCAUUUAUUGGGUACUCUGAAAGAACUGCCAGUGAUAAGCUGGAGGAAGGUGGGGAUGACGUCAAGUCCUCAUGGCCCUUACGGGCUGGGCUACACACGUGCUACAAUGGCGGUGACAGUGGGCUGCUACCUUGCGAAAGGAAGCUAAUCCCAAAAAACCGUCUCAGUUCGGAUUGUUCUCUGCAACUCGAGAGCAUGAAGUUGGAAUCGCUAGUAAUCGUGGAUCAGGUGCCACGGUGAAUACGUUCUCGGGCCUUGAACACACCGCCCGUC